This 715-nucleotide ribosomal RNA is filed under the name Enterobacter cloacae. RNAcentral's name for it is "bacterial SSU rRNA". It matches the Rfam family "Bacterial small subunit ribosomal RNA", at positions 751 to 1466 of the family's 1533-position model. The record is from RNAcentral. Lineage: Bacteria; Pseudomonadati; Pseudomonadota; Gammaproteobacteria; Enterobacterales; Enterobacteriaceae.
GUCGAAAAGCGUGGGGGGAGCAAACAGGAUUAGAUAACCUGGUAGUCACGCGUAAAACGAUGUCGACUUGGAGGGUUGUGCCCUGAGGCGUGGCUUCCGGAGCUAACGCGUUAAGUCGACCGCCUGGGGAGUACGGCCGCAAGGUUAAAACUCAAAUGAAUUGACGGGGGCCCGCACAAGCGGUGGAGCAUGUGGUUUAAUUCGAUGCAACGCGAAGAACCUUACCUACUCUUGACAUCCAGAGAACUUAGCAGAGAUGCUUUGGUGCCUUCGGGAACUCUGAGACAGGUGCUGCAUGGCUGUCGUCAGCUCGUGUUGUGAAAUGUUGGGUUAAGUCCCGCAACGAGCGCAACCCUUAUCCUUUGUUGCCAGCGGUCCGGCCGGGAACUCAAAGGAGACUGCCAGUGAUAAACUGGAGGAAGGUGGGGAUGACGUCAAGUCAUCAUGGCCCUUACGAGUAGGGCUACACACGUGCUACAAUGGCGCAUACAAAGAGAAGCGACCUCGCGAGAGCAAGCGGACCUCAUAAAGUGCGUCGUAGUCCGGAUUGGAGUCUGCAACUCGACUCCAUGAAGUCGGAAUCGCUAGUAAUCGUGGAUCAGAAUGCCACGGUGAAUACGUUCCCGGGCCUUGUACACACCGCCCGUCACACCAUGGGAGUGGGUGCAAAAGAAGUAACUACUAGACCCUGGCACGGACCAAACGCAGCUUCGCA